Physeter macrocephalus (sperm whale) is the source of this 2178-nucleotide long non-coding RNA. RefSeq lists it as uncharacterized. NCBI's taxonomy places the organism in Eukaryota, Metazoa, Chordata, Mammalia, Artiodactyla, Physeteridae. The record is from RefSeq and is a predicted model, not a curated record. The transcript has 4 exons.
GGCCGGGCGCGGUGGCACGUGCGGGCGCGGCCGCAGGGACUUCCCUGGUGGUGCAGUGGUUAAGAAUCCGCCUGCCAAUGCAGGGGACACCGAUUCCAGCCCUGGUGGGGAAAGAUCCCACAUGCCGCGGAGCAACUAAGCCCAUGCGCCACAACUACUGAGCCUGUGCUUUAGAGCCUGCGAGCCACAACUACUGAGCCUCUGCGCCUAGAGCCUGUGCUCUGCAACAAGAGAAGCCACUGCAAUGAGAAGCCCACACACUGCCACGAAGAGUAGCCCCCGCUCGCCGCAACUAGAGAAAGCCGGCACGCAGCAAUGAAGACCCAAGGCAGCCAAAAAUAAAUAAAUAAAUUUCUAAAAGAAAAAAAAAAGGAAGAGGAAGGGGAGAAGCAUCAUAAAUAACUUUAGAGACAUGGAGGAAAAUGCCAGAAGCCACCAAAACUGCUGAAAGGGGGUCUGGUCCGGGGAGCAUGGGGCUGGGCAUGGCUAUUUUCCAUGAUGGGGAUUUUAGUGAUUUUUUUUUUUUUUUUUUUUUUUUUUAGCUACACAUAUAUUAGUUUUAAAACGUGUUGAGGCAACACUGUGAUGAAAACACCAUGGCCAGUGAGGCUCGGUGGGGGCCUGGGUCUGAGCUCGGCUGCUGGGCGCCCCUCCAGCACUGUCCAAGGCGGGGUGGCAGUGGUGCCUCAUCCAAGGUCAUGUUUUUUUUUUUAAGAUGUUGGGGGUAGGAGUUUAAUUAAUUAUUUUUGCUGUGUUGGGUCUUCGUUUCUCUGCUAGGGCUUUCUCUAGUUGUGGCAAGCGGGGGUAACUCUUCAUCGCGGUGCGCGGGCCUCUCACUAUCGCGGCCUCUUUUGUUGCGGAGCACAGGCUCCAGACGCGCAGGCUUAGUAGUUGUGGCUCACGGGCUUAGUUGCUCCACGGCAUGUGGGAUCCUCCCAGACCAGGGCUCGAACCCCUGUCCCCUGCAUUAGCAGGCAGAUUCUCAACCACUGUGCCACCAGGGAAGCCCCAAGGUCAUGUUUUGAGAGAAUAAUAGUCAAGGAAAAGAACUUUGUUGCCAAAGAAUAUGAAACCACAAAACUGCCUUCCCUGCACCAUUUCCACUUUCAGUCUUCCCUCUCCAGUUAUUAAAAUGUGCUUGUGGCAGUUGAUUUUGGAGUGGGCUCAUGGUUACUUUUGUGAAUUGGGUUGGGUUUGAAAUAAAAUUUACAUGCAAUGAAAGGCACCUGCUUUCACUGCCCUGUGCGUAAGCUCUUCCUGCCCAGAUGAGUGGCUGCAGGACCCAGUUGGCUCUUCCCUCUCUGUCGGUCACCUGGACCAGUUUUGCCUCCUCUGGGGCUUCAUGUAAACAGAAUCGAUUUUUUUUCCCCCUUUUUGGCUGUACCGUGGCACAUGGAAUGUCCCUGACCUGGGAUCGAACCUGUGCCCCCUGCAGUAGAAGCUCGGAGUCCUAACCACUGGACUGCCAGGGAAGUCCACGGAAUCACUUUGUACUCCCAUGUGGGAAACAUCAGCACAGACACACCCAGAAAUGUUUUACCAGCUAUCCAGACGUUCCUCAGCCCGGUCAAGUUGACACCUACAAUUAACAUCACAGCGUGCUUCUGUGUCUGGCUUCUCUCACUGAGCGUCGUGUUCUCAAGGGGAAGACGAGCAGCGCCCAGGCCCCAACACGCCACUUCCAUAUCCAUCGAGAGGUGCCCGGAUGGAAGGCCGGCUGUGCUCCGUUUUGAGCCCCAGGUAAUUCAUACAAACAGCCCUCCCGGCCACGGGGCGCCCACCCACUGGCUCUGGGCCAGCGACCAGCCCAGGACACAGAAGGCACACAGAAGUAGGUGCAGGGAGCUGAGCCGGUGCGGCAGAAGGGCAGACACCACAGCCUGGUCCACAGCCGACUGGCCCAGGACAGGUGAGAACGGGCGGGCAGGCUGAGGGGAGGAUGGGGCGUGACACGGCCUUCCCGCCUGGGCCCCGGGGAGAAGGUCAGGGCACUGCCCGCGCCCUCGCUCCGCUGCCUGGCGUCCUUUGUGGGGACGAAGGGCCGGAGGCAGGGCUCCCGAGGAGCUCAAAGGCCAGGGAGGGACACACGGGAUGAUCCAGACCCACGCUACCGCUCCAGUGGGGCAGCACCCUCCUACUGCCACCAAAACACAUCCCUAAGGCCUUUUGGAAAAAUUG